GCCAGAUGAAGCUAGAGUGAACAUGUUUUUGUUGAGCUGUCCAGAAAACUGAUUAAAGUUAAAGCUGAAAUGAUGAAUGCUAUGAUUCAUAUAUUGUUUCAUAUACUGUAACUUGUACCGGCUGACCUGAAUGUACUUAUACCCGGCAAAAUAGUAAGUUUAACGGUUAACAUUGCGAGUGAUAUUUCAGAAAUAUAUUUUGAUUACAGAUUGUUUUAUGAAAGUCAUGUACACAUUUAUAGCAUAUUCAAUACGUUAAUUAAUCAAAAGGUUAUACUUGUUAAGCUAUACCUGUAUCUCAUGUUGUUAUGAUUAUGAAUAUUGAUAAAGCUGGUGUUUAAAGGAGAAAUGAAGGUUAUAAUGUGCAGUCAAAGGUUAAUUUGGAAUCUGAAUGUUAUUUUGUUAUGCUGUUUACUUUUAUACAUAUUUGAUAAUUCUUUUCUGCAUUCCAGAAUCGAAUGAGAGAUAUUUAUUAAACUUCAUAUCGAACUCAA
Molecule: long non-coding RNA, 494 nt
Organism: Anneissia japonica
Lineage: Eukaryota; Metazoa; Echinodermata; Crinoidea; Comatulida; Comatulidae
Exons: 2
Source: RefSeq, a predicted model, not a curated record